Molecule: long non-coding RNA, 850 nt
Organism: Saccostrea cuccullata (small rock oyster)
Lineage: Eukaryota; Metazoa; Mollusca; Bivalvia; Ostreida; Ostreidae
Exons: 4
Source: RefSeq, a predicted model, not a curated record
GCUGGUGUACUAGAGGUGGUUACGUAAACGCUUUAAUCACCGCGGCGCUUGUAACAAUGUAAACAAAUGGACGUGUCCUCGAACUUGGAGCCAAACGGAGGGGCUGAAUCGAUCUUUAAUCGAGCUGUCACAACCGGGAGAAAGGUUUAUCCGAAUCUUGGGAGAUCAGCAGGUAAAAUAAGAAGUCAAAGCUUACAGGGAGCUUUAUUAUGGCUGGAUGGUACAUGUUACAUAAAAAUUCUAUUUUUCCCCAUCUAAUUCAUGAAAUGGCAUCCAUCCUAUUGUCAGUGCUGUCAGGGAAAAAGAUGAACUGGUGUAUUACAACCUAAGACAAAGUGUUGAGAUGUUUGGCAGUCCUAUACAUUCACAGAGAAAAUGUUCUGCUGGAAAUAUGGGGCAACAUUCAGCCUGUACACACAUAGACUAGGGAUUCCACCAAAAACUGAAAGAGAAAAGAAGCUGAUGUACUCAAACAAUCCCUGGCAAGAGAAAUUAAUUUGUGAAAUGAAAGAAUGCACAGACAUAACAUUUUAAUAUUUGUUUGUACAAAAAUUGACAUUGAAAGGAAUUUACUGUAUGUGUACUUAAAAUAGCGAGCUUCAUAUUUUAGUUGUUUUUGAGCAGACGAGGAUGUGCUAAUUCAUAAAUACCACUAAAAAUUCAUUUAUAAAUAGAAUAUACGACACAAAUAUUUGUAGCAUUAAUUCAAGAUUAUGCCAACAACCAUAUCCAUUGAUUGCGCUAAAUUUUGAAAACACCAAGUUAUGUACAUGUACAGUAUUUUUCCAAAGCUUGAACUUUUUUCUGUUAACGAUUUUGCUUAUUUUAUUCAUGGCUGUAAAUAAAUAAA